Eutrema salsugineum is the source of this 107-nucleotide small nucleolar RNA. It matches the Rfam family "Plant small nucleolar RNA R71". Rfam says of the family: R71 is a member of the C/D box family of snoRNAs containing the C (UGAUGA) and D (CUGA) box motifs. Lineage: Eukaryota; Viridiplantae; Streptophyta; Magnoliopsida; Brassicales; Brassicaceae. The record is from Rfam.
AAUCCAUUGUGAGGGCAGUCAUGUUCAUACUCUCUAAAAUGCUCCCAGGCUUCAUAGAAAGGUUCAGCUGGUCACUACUGAAAACUUGAGAUCUUGGUUCUCAGCAA